UAGUAUAUCCGUUUCACAGUUUUUCCUCUGUUGAAUUCUUGCACUAGCUUUCAUAUGGGCCAUAUUAAGUUACAUGUGGGUGGGUGCCGUAACAGUGCAGCAACCAUUCUGCUAGCUUGUGCAAGAGUUUAAAAGUGGUGAAACUUU
This 147-nucleotide microRNA precursor is filed under the name Arabidopsis thaliana (thale cress). RNAcentral describes it as "miR4221 stem-loop (ath-MIR4221)". The stretch from base 16 to 147 matches the Rfam family "MIR4221 microRNA precursor family". Lineage: Eukaryota; Viridiplantae; Streptophyta; Magnoliopsida; Brassicales; Brassicaceae. The record is from miRBase by way of RNAcentral.